UGACGCGGGAGGGCGGGCAGGGCCGUGGGGCGCGCGCGGGAAGGGACUUGUGGGAAGGAAGGGAGCGGAAAGGCCGAGCGCCACCCGCCCCGGGAGUCUCCAGAGCAGCGCGCGGGGCAGACCUCCUCGGGUCCUCCGGCGCUUCGGUCUCCGGAGACGCCCGGCCUCCUGAAGGGUUCGGCUUGUCCUCCUCUGGCGCUCAGCUCCCUCUGGCGGCCGGGCUGGCAGGACCUCAGCGCCCAGCCCUUCCGUCUUGUUACGUCCAGGGUCUCACUCUGUGUCUCAGGCUGGAGUACAGUGGUGCAAUUGUAGAUGGCUGCAGCCCUCGACCUCCUGGGCUCAAGUGAUCCUCCUGCCUUAGCCUCUCGAGUAGCUGGGAGUACAGAUGCACACCACCACACCCAGCCUAGAAUGAAGAAACCUGCAGUUGGGAAGCAUGAAUUUACCACCUAUUAAGAGUCUCACUUUGUCGCCCAGGCUGGAGUACAGUGGUGCGAUCUUGGCUCUCUGCAACCUCUGCCUCCCAGGUUCAAGUAAUUCUCCUGCCUCAGCCUCCCGAGUAGCUGGUACUACAGGCACACAUUUGUAGAGAUGGUGUUUCCCCAUGUCAUCCAGGCUGGUCUGGAACUCCUGGGAUCAAGUAAUCCACCCGCCUCGGCCUCCCAAAGUGCUGGGAUUACAGACGUGAGCCACCACGCCCUGCCAAUAAAAAGAUUAUCUCCAGAUGCUGGAAUGACCAGUAAUUUAUUUUCUUCCUUUUUUUUUGUCUGCACUUUCUACCAUAAUCAUAUGUUAGCUUCUUACUAAGAAGAAAAGUCAAUGUUAUUUCCCUGAAAAAGUAAUGUUGUUUGGUUAUUAAACAAAUUUAAUUUUCUAAACAAGAGUACGACAGGUAAACUGCCUACCUUAAAAGCAAACGAACACAAAUAAAUAAACUAACCAUCUUCCACUUCAGUCUCUGUCCU
Molecule: long non-coding RNA, 965 nt
Filed under: Homo sapiens (human)
Lineage: Eukaryota; Metazoa; Chordata; Mammalia; Primates; Hominidae
Description: HSALNT0292820
Source: RNAcentral